GCUCCACAAUAGUCGAAGAUGAACAACAAACUUGUACUGACGAUUCUGCUGGUGACUGUAGGUCUGAUGUGCCUAGGCAUCGCCCCGGUAACCGGUCUAAGGAGAAAUUGCUGGUGUCGUCGGAGUUGUUAUCCGGGUGAACGAAACACUUAUCGGAGGUGCAGUAUACCUGGAUCAUAUGGCUGGGGCUCCCGAGGCACCGAGUGUUGUCGAGGUGGCUUUUUUUACGGCCGUUAGGAAAACCUAGAUUGCGAUUUGCACUGAAAGGAUCAGAUUAAAACAAGCAACGUCAGCGUAAAUCUGGAUAUGUGUGUUACCAGCAGC
Molecule: long non-coding RNA, 324 nt
Organism: Mizuhopecten yessoensis (Yesso scallop)
Lineage: Eukaryota; Metazoa; Mollusca; Bivalvia; Pectinida; Pectinidae
Exons: 3
Source: RefSeq, a predicted model, not a curated record